AUACGGAGGAUGCAAGCGUUAUCCGGAUUUAUUGGGUUUAAAGGGUGCGUAGGCUGACGUGUAAGUCAGAGGUGAAAUCUCCGGGCUCAACCUGGGAACUGCCUUUGAUACUGCAUGUCUGGAGUUCGGAUGCCGUGGGAGGAAUGGGCAGUGUAGCGGUGAAAUGCAUAGAUAUUGCCCAGAACACCGAUUGCGAAGGCAUCUCACGAACCCGACACUGACGCUGAGGCACGAAAGCGUGGGGAUCAAACAGGAUUAGAUACCCUGGUAGUCCACGCAGUAAACGAUGAUAACUAACCGUCGGCGAUAGACAGUCGGUGGCCAAGCGAAAGCGAUAAGUUAUCCACCUGGGGAGUACGUUCGCAAGAAUGAAACUCAAAGGAAUUGACGGGG
Molecule: ribosomal RNA, 393 nt
Filed under: uncultured bacterium
Lineage: Bacteria
Description: partial 16S ribosomal RNA
Rfam family: Bacterial small subunit ribosomal RNA
Source: RNAcentral